UUGGUACGCUGCUACGAGUUGUUUCUGAGCGCUGCCUCUCAAACACCUGUGAUGGAAAGUAAUAAAAAUCAUAACGCAAGACCUAGAAAGCGGGUCACGUUUGACUUAAAAGGGAGACGUUUAAGAAGAAUUUCAAAAAAAUGUAAACCACGUACAUACACAACCCCUCCCCCAACCCCAAGAUUUUUAAGAAAAGAAACCACUUUAAAAGAAUCCUUUGAAAAUUUACAACAUUCAGACCCAAAAGAAACCAAACAUCAAAACAAAAAUCUCUUCGUUCGUUUGUGGAACAGGAUAUUUAAAUCAAAGAGACAAAAGUAAAAAAAAAAAAAAAAUGUGACACGUUUAUCUGAGGAUACACAACCAAAAGAAAAUCGGGAAGAAGGAAAUUAACAUGGCAGUAUUGUUUUGACCAAUCUUCUUGCCAAGAAUGGACUGAUAUUCGUGAAUUGUUAUUCGUGAAUUAAAAUUAAUUGUAACCAUGUUAUGGAACUUUUUGCUCUGCAUUAUGUUGUAUUUGUUUCUUGACAGAAUCAUCUGAAAGUGGCACAAAAUGUUCGUUUCCAGUAUAACUUUAUGUGUGAAUAUGUAAAUAAAGUCUCAAACUUCAA
Molecule: long non-coding RNA, 611 nt
Organism: Stegodyphus dumicola
Lineage: Eukaryota; Metazoa; Arthropoda; Arachnida; Araneae; Eresidae
Source: RefSeq, a predicted model, not a curated record